AGGAAGCCCUAAACCCCAAUUUCAUUUCUUCUCUCACUCACUCACGGUGCUUCUCCUUCCUCUGGUUACAAUCGAUUUUUAAACUCCUCUGCCGGCGUUAUUGUCGUCGUUCUUGCGCCUAGUGUUGCCGGAAUUUCUCUCUCCUUUUGUUCUAUUGUUGAUUCGUGUUGUACGGUGGUUGUUGCCUCCCUGCCGUUCUGUCUUUCUCUUUCCUCUGCUUCUGUUCGGUGCUGCUAUUGUUGAUGUUUCUUGCCGACGAGCUGCCGCCGUCAUUGCAUCACCUGCUUCGUUAAUGAUGCUGGCGAAUUUUCUCUCUCCUCUGUUCUGUGCUGCCGGUAUGUUGUUGUUGCUGCUGCUCCUUAUUCGUAGAUUGUUGUUGAGUUUCAAUUAAGGGAUUCUUUGUGAAGGUGGAUUGUGGGUAUUAAUCUGUGAAGGCGAAAGAGUCUUGGAAGCUUAGAAGAAGUUGUAUGUGAGAAUUGAUUUGCAUUUGAGGUAACCUUUAUGUUCAGCAAAAUGAAUUUACAUACCCAUGUUGUAUUGUGUUUUCAAUAUCAUACAUUGCUUAUAGUCAUGGCCAUGGUUAUAGAUGCAUAUUUAUAAGUUAAUUGUGAAUUGAUAUUUGAUGGUUAUGAAAGAAUAAUACUUUGUUAUAUUAUUGGAAUUGUUCGGAAACUAUAAAGUAUUCUAGAAAUGUGAUUUGAGUAUGAUAAUGAGAAAAUGUUUUCGAAAUGGUAUUAGCUGGCUUAGUUUAUGAACUGAGAUGAAGAGUGGGCAAGGUACGGGUGGAGUAAAAUGAUUCGUAUAUGAGUUAAGACUAGAUAAGGUCGAAUAUUAUGUUAAGUUAUGUUAUAAGCCUGUACUUGCCAGCGAUUUAUGUAAUGUGAUUAAGCUAUGCCAGCGAUAUAUUAAAAAGAUGAAUCAUUUCCGAACAAUUACCAACUUUGUUUCUGAUAUGAAAAUGUUUACGAACCAAAACCGUUUUGACGGGCUGAAGUAAAGUUACUGAGUUUUUCGCUCAUUUUAGUUUUGUUUUUGUUUUGUAUUUUCUUCUUUAAUUUGCAGGUUUGUAUUGGGAGCUCAUAGUGGAUCAGAAAAUAAGAAUUGGUGAUAAAGUUGUAAAUAUAUUAGUGAUUCGAAGUUAGAUUUAAAAUAUAAGUUGUUGAAUAUUAAGUUCUCAUUUGAUAUUUAAGUAUUAUAUAUAUUUGGGAUUUGAGUAAGAUAUUAUGUAAUCUGUUAUUUGGUUAUUGA
Molecule: long non-coding RNA, 1248 nt
Organism: Beta vulgaris subsp. vulgaris (sugar beet)
Lineage: Eukaryota; Viridiplantae; Streptophyta; Magnoliopsida; Caryophyllales; Amaranthaceae
Exons: 2
Source: RefSeq, a predicted model, not a curated record